AACGAACGCUAGCGGGAUGCCUCAAACAUGCAAGUCGCACGAGAAAGGUCCUUCGGGAACGAGUAAAGUGGCGCACGGGUGCGUAACACGUAGCUAACCUACCUCCUUGCUGGGGAUAACUCCGGGAAACCGGAGCUAAUACCGAAUAAUCUGAUACGGUCUGCGGGCUGUAUCGGUAAAGCCUUAGGGCGCGAGGAGAUGGGGCUGCGGUCCAUUAGCUUGAUGGUGGGGUAACGGCCCACCAUAGCGACGAUGGAUAGCUGGUCUGAGAGGAUGAUCAGCCACACUGGAACUGAAACACGGUCCAG
This 308-nucleotide ribosomal RNA is filed under the name uncultured bacterium. RNAcentral describes it as "bacterial SSU rRNA". It matches the Rfam family "Bacterial small subunit ribosomal RNA", at positions 29 to 334 of the family's 1533-position model. The record is from RNAcentral.